CCUACGGGAGGCUGCAGUGGGGAAUAUUGCACAAUGGGGGAAACCCUGAUGCAGCGACGCCGCGUGAGCGAUGAAGUAUUUCGGUAUGUAAAGCUCUAUCAGCAGGGAAGAAAAUGACGGUACCUGACUAAGAAGCCCCGGCUAACUACGUGCCAGCAGCCGCGGUAAUACGUAGGGGGCAAGCGUUAUCCGGAUUUACUGGGUGUAAAGGGAGCGUAGACGGCUGUGCAAGCCAGAUGUGAAAGCCCGGGGCUCAACCCCGGGACUGCAUUUGGAACUGUGUGGCUGGAGUGCCGGAGAGGCAGGCGGAAUUCCUGGUGGAGCGGUGGAAUGCGUAGAUAUUAGGAGGAACACCAGUGGCGAAGGCGGCCUGCUGGACGAUGACUGACGUUGAGGCUCGAAAGCGUGGGGAGCAAACAGGAUUAGAUACCCGAGUAGUC
This 440-nucleotide ribosomal RNA is filed under the name uncultured bacterium. RNAcentral describes it as "partial 16S ribosomal RNA". It matches the Rfam family "Bacterial small subunit ribosomal RNA", at positions 338 to 795 of the family's 1533-position model. The record is from RNAcentral.